Molecule: long non-coding RNA, 563 nt
Filed under: Homo sapiens (human)
Lineage: Eukaryota; Metazoa; Chordata; Mammalia; Primates; Hominidae
Description: HSALNT0304060
Source: RNAcentral
CUCAUAUCAUCAUUUCAUCUCAUCCUUUCAUUUCAUCUCAUCGUUUCAUCUCCUCAUUUCAUCUCAUCUCACCUCAGCAUUUCAUUUCACCUCAUCAUUUCUUAUUUCAUCUCAUUUUAUCUCAUUUCAUCUCAUAUCUCAAUUCAAUUUCCUUUCAUUAUUUCAUCUCAUUCAUUUCAUCUCCUUUCAUUACAUCUCAUCAUUUCCUCUCAUCAUUACACCUCAUCUCAUCUCAUCAUUUCAUCAUUUCAUCUCAUCAUUGCAUCUCAUCAUUUCAUCUCAUUUCAUCUCAUCAUUCAUUUCAUCUCAUCGUUUCAUCUCCUCAUUUCAUCUCAUCUCACCUCAGCAUUUCAUUUCACCUCAUCAUUUCUUAUUUCAUCUCAUUUUAUCUCAUUUCAUCUCAUAUCUCAAUUCAAUUUCCUUUCAUUAUUUCAUCUCAUUCAUUUCAUCUCAUUUCAUUACAUCUCAUCAUUUCCUCUCAUCAUUACAUCUCAUCUCAUCUCAUCAUUUCAUCAUUUCAUCUCAUCAUUGCAUCUCAUCAUUUCAUCUCAUUUCAUCUCAUC